RNAcentral lists this ribosomal RNA (534 nucleotides) under Streptomyces sp. 1WH4_09. RNAcentral describes it as "bacterial SSU rRNA". It matches the Rfam family "Bacterial small subunit ribosomal RNA", at positions 48 to 597 of the family's 1533-position model. The record is from RNAcentral. Lineage: Bacteria; Bacillati; Actinomycetota; Actinomycetes; Kitasatosporales; Streptomycetaceae.
CUUACACAUGCAAGUCGAACGAUGAACCGCUUUCGGGCGGGGAUUAGUGGCGAACGGGUGAGUAACACGUGGGCAAUCUGCCCUGCACUCUGGGACAAGCCCUGGAAACGGGGUCUAAUACCGGAUAUGACUGUCCAUCGCAUGGUGGAUGGUGUAAAGCUCCGGCGGUGCAGGAUGAGCCCGCGGCCUAUCAGCUUGUUGGUGAGGUAGUGGCUCACCAAGGCGACGACGGGUAGCCGGCCUGAGAGGGCGACCGGCCACACUGGGACUGAGACACGGCCCAGACUCCUACGGGAGGCAGCAGUGGGGAAUAUUGCACAAUGGGCGAAAGCCUGAUGCAGCGACGCCGCGUGAGGGAUGACGGCCUUCGGGUUGUAAACCUCUUUCAGCAGGGAAGAAGCGAAAGUGACGGUACCUGCAGAAGAAGCGCCGGCUAACUACGUGCCAGCAGCCGCGGUAAUACGUAGGGCGCAAGCGUUGUCCGGAAUUAUUGGGCGUAAAGAGCUCGUAGGCGGCUUGUCACGUCGGUUGUGA